UACGGAGGGCGCGAGCGUUAAUCGGAAUUACUGGGCGUAAAGCGUGCGUAGGUGGUUGAUUAAGUUAUCUGUGAAAUUCCUGGGCUUAACCUGGGCAGGUCAGAUGAUACUGAUUGACUCGAGUAUGGGAGAGGGUAGUGGAAUUUCCGGUGUAGCGGUGAAAUGCGUAGAGAUCGGAAGGAACACCAGUGGCGAAGGCGGCUACCUGGCCUAAUACUGACACUGAGGCACGAAAGCGUGGGGAGCAAACAGG
Molecule: ribosomal RNA, 253 nt
Filed under: uncultured bacterium
Lineage: Bacteria
Description: partial 16S ribosomal RNA
Rfam family: Bacterial small subunit ribosomal RNA
Source: RNAcentral